RNAcentral lists this ribosomal RNA (407 nucleotides) under bacterium enrichment culture DGGE gel band A14. RNAcentral describes it as "bacterial SSU rRNA". It matches the Rfam family "Bacterial small subunit ribosomal RNA", at positions 928 to 1347 of the family's 1533-position model. The record is from RNAcentral.
AGCGGUGGAGCAUGUGGUUUAAUUGAAGCAACGCGAAGAACCUUACCAGGCCUUGACAUCCAAUGAACUUUCCAGAGAGGAUUGGUGCCUUCGGGAGCAUUGAGACAGGUGCUGCAUGGCUGUCGUCAGUCGUGUCGUGAGAUGUUGGGUUAAGUCCCGUAACGAGCGCAACCCUUGUCUUAGUUACCAGCACGUUUGGUGGGCACUUAAGGAGACUGCCGGUGCAAACCGGAGGAAGGUGGGGAUGACGUCAAGUCAUCAUGGCCCUUCGGCCUGGGCUACACACUGUACAAUGGUCGGUACAGAGGGUUGCCAAGCCGCGAGGUGGAGAUAAUCCCACAAAACCGAUGUAGUCCCGGAUCGCAGUCUGCAACUGAUGCGGAAGUCGGAAUCGCUAAAAUAAAGAA